AACGAACGCUGGCGGCAUGCCUAACACAUGCAAGUCGAACGAGACCUUCGGGUCUAGUGGCGCACGGGUGCGUAACGCGUGGGAAUCUGCCCUUGGGUUCGGAAUAACUUCGGGAAACUGAAGCUAAUACCGGAUGAUGACGUAAGUCCAAAGAUUAUCGCCCAAGGAUGAGCCCGCGUAGGAUUAGCUAGUUGGUGAGGUAAAGGCUCACCAAGGCGACGAUCCUUAGCUGGUCUGAGAGGAUGAUCAGCCACACUGGGACUGAGACACGGCCCAGACUCCUACGGGAGGCAGC
RNAcentral lists this ribosomal RNA (295 nucleotides) under uncultured bacterium. RNAcentral's name for it is "partial 16S ribosomal RNA". It matches the Rfam family "Bacterial small subunit ribosomal RNA", at positions 29 to 352 of the family's 1533-position model. The record is from RNAcentral.